Molecule: microRNA precursor, 68 nt
Filed under: Tursiops truncatus (common bottlenose dolphin)
Lineage: Eukaryota; Metazoa; Chordata; Mammalia; Artiodactyla; Delphinidae
Description: miRNA (ENSTTRG00000024454.1)
Source: RNAcentral
UUGGCCAAAAAGUUCAUUCAGGUUUUUCCAUAGCUGUUAAGGAAAACCCAAACGAACUUUUUGGCCAA